CCUACGGGAGGCAGCAGUGGGGAAUAUUGGGCAAUGGGCGCAAGCCUGACCCAGCAACGCCGCGUGAAGGAAGAAGGCUUUCGGGUUGUAAACUUCUUUUCUUAGGGACGAAGCAAGCGACGGUACCUGAGUAAUAAGCCACGGCUAUCUACGUGCCAGCAGCAGCGGUAAUACGUAGGCUGCAAGCGUUAUCCGGAUGUACUGGGUGUAAAGGGGGAGUAGGCGGGAAAGCAAGUCAGAUGUGAAAACCAUUGGCUCAACCUGUGAACUGCAUUUGAAACUGUUUUUCUUGAGUACUGGGGAGGUAGACGGAAUUCCUGGUGUAGCGGUGAAAUGCGUAGAUAUUAGGAGGAACACCAGUGGCGAAGGCGGUCUGCUGGACAGCAACUGACGCUGAGGCGCGAAAGCGUGGGGAGCAAACAGGAUUAGAUACCCGUGUAGUC
Molecule: ribosomal RNA, 443 nt
Filed under: uncultured bacterium
Lineage: Bacteria
Description: partial 16S ribosomal RNA
Rfam family: Bacterial small subunit ribosomal RNA
Source: RNAcentral